RNAcentral lists this unclassified non-coding RNA (370 nucleotides) under Hevea brasiliensis (rubber tree). Lineage: Eukaryota; Viridiplantae; Streptophyta; Magnoliopsida; Malpighiales; Euphorbiaceae. The record is from RNAcentral.
CGGAGGUGAUGAUUUGGGAGAGGAGGCAUCGGUUCAGAGUAAGCGUGUUGCUCUUCAGAAAAAGGCUGCUGCUGCUAUGGUUGCUGCUGAGGAUUAUGCCCGCCGGUUUGAGUCUGAUAUGGCGGUUGCCUCAAAAGAUACUGCUGGAGAUGAGCAAGGUCUGUCUAACGCGAAUAUAAUGUGCCGAAUGUGCUUUUUGGGUGAAACUGAAGGAAGUGAGAGGGCAAGGAGGAUGCUUUCCUGCAAAAGUUGUGGCAAGAAGUACCAUAGAAGCUGUUUGAAAGCAUGGGCUCAACAUAGAGAUUUAUUUCACUGGAGUUCGUGGACCUGUCCGUCUUGCCGAAUCUGUGAGAUAUGCCGAAGAACUGGG